This 439-nucleotide long non-coding RNA is filed under the name Lathyrus oleraceus (garden pea). RNAcentral describes it as "Pisum sativum (pea) long non-coding RNA (PSAT_LNC039639)". The record is from RNAcentral. Lineage: Eukaryota; Viridiplantae; Streptophyta; Magnoliopsida; Fabales; Fabaceae.
UCUAAAAAAUAAUAGAUAGUUUGCAUAAAAACAAAAAUAAACUAACGGUAGAUUGAGAUGUGAACUCACAGAUGAUUGUUAAGAUCGAGUGAACCACCGUUAAAACAAAUAAGAUAAACAAUUUCUUGUCCUUCAUCUACUCCAUUGGAGGAUGAGGAAGAGUUUCUUCCACUUCAGUAUCAAAAGCAUUGAUUCUGAUCAUUUGAGAUUUAAAUAAAAUGCUAUCAACACCAAUCGUCGAUAUUAUUAGUUGUCAAAUCGGUUGCAUUUGUUGUUCUUCGGGUUGAACUACUGAAUAUUUAUUUAUUUUUGUUUAAAUUUUAUUUAUGUUAGUAAAUCCUAUUAAUGAGAAUUCAAUGGUGUUUGUUAUCCUAACAACUAUGAGUCGUGGUUGUUAAUUAUAGUAAGUUUUUUUGGGAGGAUCGACCAACGCUCUUUU